UGAACGCUGGCGGCAGGCCCUAACAUGCAAGUCGAGCGGAAACGAGUUGUCUGAACCUUCGGGGGACGAUAACGGCGUCGAGCGGCGGACGGGUGAGUAAUGCCUGGGAAAUUGCCCUGAUGUGGGGGAUAACCAUUGGAAACGAUGGCUAAUACCGCAUAAUAGCUUCGGCUCAAAGAGGGGGACCUUCGGGACCUCUCGCGUCAGGAUAUGCCCAGGUGGGAUUAGCUAGUUGGUGAGGUAAGGGCUCACCAAGGCGACGAUCCCUAGCUGGUCUGAGAGAUGAUCAGCCACACUGGAACUGAGACACGGUCCAGACUCCUACGGGAGGCAGCAGUGGGGAAUAUUGCACAAUGGGCGCAAGCCUGAUGCAGCCAUGCCGCGUGUAUGAAGUGAAGGCCUUCGGGUUGUAAAGUACUUUCAGCAGUGAGGAAGAUGGUGUACUUAAUACGUGCAUCAUUUGACGUUAGCUGCAGAAGAAGCACCGGCUAAC
RNAcentral lists this ribosomal RNA (493 nucleotides) under Vibrio sp. A4. RNAcentral's name for it is "bacterial SSU rRNA". It matches the Rfam family "Bacterial small subunit ribosomal RNA", at positions 30 to 501 of the family's 1533-position model. The record is from RNAcentral. Lineage: Bacteria; Pseudomonadati; Pseudomonadota; Gammaproteobacteria; Vibrionales; Vibrionaceae.